GACGAACGCUGGCGGCGUGCUUAACACAUGCAAGUCGAACGGUGAAGCCUUCGGGUGGAUCAGUGGCGAACGGGUGAGUAACACGUGAGCAAUCUGCCCUUGACUCUGGGAUAACUUCGGGAAACCGGAGCUAAUACCGGAUAUGACAUCUGGCCGCAUGGUCUGGGUGCGGAAAGAUUUAUCGGUCAAGGAUGAGCUCGCGGCCUAUCAGCUUGUUGGUGGGGAAUGGCCCACCAAGGCGACGACGGGUAGCCGGCCUGAGAGGGCGACCGGCCACACUGGGACUGAGACACGGCCCAGACUCCUACGGGAGGCAGCAGUGGGGAUAUUGCGCAAUGGGCGGAAGCCUGACGCAGCGACGCCGCGUGAGGGAUGAAGGCCU
RNAcentral lists this ribosomal RNA (382 nucleotides) under uncultured bacterium. RNAcentral describes it as "bacterial SSU rRNA". It matches the Rfam family "Bacterial small subunit ribosomal RNA", at positions 28 to 417 of the family's 1533-position model. The record is from RNAcentral.